RNAcentral lists this unclassified non-coding RNA (232 nucleotides) under uncultured fungus. RNAcentral's name for it is "sequence contains ITS1". The record is from RNAcentral. Lineage: Eukaryota; Fungi.
GUAUUGUAUUGCGUUAAACGCGAUGUACAUUCCAUGAGACUUUAUUACAGUGUGUGUGUAAAUACAUAGGACCACGGCAGGGGGGACAGAGCCCCCAGGCUGCAGAACUACGGAGGGUGCACAGGUGUGAGUGGAUGUGCAAACAGAGUGUGCACAUGCCCCCGUUUGAGGGCCAGCAACAACUCGUGUUGACAAUUCGGUAAUGAUCCUUCCGCAGGUUCACCUACGGAAA